This 817-nucleotide ribosomal RNA is filed under the name Scedosporium boydii. RNAcentral's name for it is "LSU rRNA". It matches the Rfam family "Eukaryotic large subunit ribosomal RNA", at positions 78 to 919 of the family's 3401-position model. Lineage: Eukaryota; Fungi; Ascomycota; Sordariomycetes; Microascales; Microascaceae. The record is from RNAcentral.
CCUCAGUAACGGCGAAGUGAAGCGGCAACAGCUCAAAUUUGAAAUCUGGCGGCCUCUGGGCCGUCCGAGUUGUAAUUUGAAGAGGAUGCUUUUGGCGAGGCGCCUUCCGAGUGCCCUGGAACGGGACGCCACAGAGGGUGAGAGCCCCGUAUGGUUGGACGCCGAGCCUCUGUAAAGCUCCUUCGACGAGUCGAGUAGUUUGGGAAUGCUGCUCAAAAUGGGAGGUAAACCCCUUCUAAAGCUAAAUACUGGCCAGAGACCGAUAGCGCACAAGUAGAGUGAUCGAAAGAUGAAAAGCACUUUGAAAAGAGAGUUAAACAGCACGUGAAAUUGUUGAAAGGGAAGCGCUUGCGACCAGACUUGUGCCCGUCGAAUCAGCCGCCGCUCGUCGGCGGCGCACUUCGGCGGGCUCAGGCCAGCAUCAGUUCGCUGCAGGGGGAGAAAGGCGAUGGGAAUGUGGCUCUUCGGAGUGUUAUAGCCCGCCGCGCAAUACCCCUCGGCGGACUGAGGACCGCGCAUCUGCAAGGAUGCUGGCGUAAUGGUCGUCAGCGACCCGUCUUGAAACACGGACCAAGGAGUCGUCCUAAUAUGCGAGUGUUCGGGUGUAAAACCCCUGCGCGUAAUGAAAGUGAACGGAGGUGAGAGCUUCGGCGCAUCAUCGACCGAUCCUGAUGUUCUCGGAUGGAUUUGAGUAAGAGCAUAUUGGGCCGGACCCGAAAGAAGGUGAACUAUGCCUGUAUAGGGUAAAGCCAGAGGAAACUCUGGUGGAGGCUCGCAGCGGUUCUGACGUGCAAAUCGAUCGUCAAAUAUGGGCAUG